AUCUUUAAAAUUUGAUAAAACCCAAUGUGAUGUUUUUCUUCUUCCGUAGAGCAUGCUGUGGGCGUCCACGUUUGCGCCGUGCAUGUGGUGUGUGGCCCACCGGCAGCUGCUUCAGCAAAGCUGGUCGCCUGGAUGCCGCACGGCUCGAAGUCUGACCGUUCGCACGGCCCGUUCCGCUCGCUGGUCCCCGGGCCUGUCCUCUGCCCGCGUGCACUGUACCCAGCACGGCAGACACGUAGCUCAGCGCAGCGUUUGCGGCUCUUCCGUGAGGAUUGAGGCUCUGCUGGGGGCUGACAGCGGUGUGGACGGUGACCGGCAGAAGUUGCAGCUGUGACCGGGGCUUGCAAAGGUAAGGAGUGUCCUCUUCUCUCUACAGUUUGAUUUGGCACCACAUCCUGCUUAAUCUACUGACACUUGUUGUCACGGGUCAUACUGUGCAUGGUUAGUGCUGCACCAGCGUUGCCAUGUGGCCAGCGUGGAGCCAACGUGGGUACGUGGGUUAGUCUGUGUGGUGGUUGGCGCAUGGUCAGUGUGGAGCCAAUGCAGGUUCGUGGGUUAGUCUGUGUGGAUGUUGGCGUGUGGUCAGUGUGGAGCUGACGUGGAUACGUGGGUUAGUCUAUGUGGAUGUUGCCACGUGGCCAGCGUGGAGCUGACGUGGGUACGUGGGUUAGUCUGUGUGGUGGUUGGCGUGUGGUCAGUGUGGAGCCGACGUGGGUACGUGGGUUAGUCUAUGUGGAUGUUGCCACGUGGCCAGCGUGGAGCUGACGUGGGUACGUGGGUUAGUCUGUGUGGAUGUUGGCUCAUGGUCAGAGUGGAGCUGACGUUGGUGCACGCUUUGCAGUGGUCACAGACAAAGAGGUGUGACCAGACAUUUGAAUAGUUCUCAGAAUGCACCGAGGGUGGGAAGCGGUCUUCCGCCAGGUCCAGGACGACUGAUGGGAAUGGCACAGAGGCUACGCUGGCUCUGUCCACAGGUGGGCGGAAGGCAGUGCUGGGUGAGAUUGUGGACAACAGACGCGGGUUAGAAAUACUGACCCUGGGUCUGAAUUUUUACCCUGAACUGCAGGCUGAGCCACGGGGGUCACAUCGGAAGCUGGACCUGAACGCGGGGUGCAGCCCCCCGGUGCUCUGUUGAGAAGCCCCCGGGGUCAUCUCUGGGCCUUGGGGCGGGAGGAGCGUGCUUAUGCUGUCGGUUGCACCCCUGCCCCCUGCCUUGCAGUUUUCCUUGGGAAGGGAAUCAUCUCCAACGCCCACCCUGCUGAAGGUGCUGUGGAAGCACUGGAGCGAUGUGUGUGGCGGGGGCCUGGGUAGGAGGUGGGGGUGUGACCAGGUCCGGGCAGAGUGCCUGGCCAGCACCUGUCCAGACACCAGUGUCCGACCCGAGACCCGUCUCUGCAAGUUGGUCUACGUGGCCGCAUGUGGCACAGACAAAGUGCCACGAGAAAGCACCUGACCGUAAACGUGUAAUGCUUCCUGACCACGACAGCAGGAUCCCUGCUGCAAGUAGCAGCCCCAUCUCGGGGUCCCAGGAGGACACAGAAGCUGUUUUCCUGCAUCUGUGAAACCCCAUCCCAGGAAACCGGCUGCCCAGGCUCCCUUCUGAUAAGGUUUGUGAGGGGUCGUGGGGUGACCCAGUGGGGCACUGCUUCCCGGUGGGCAGGCAGGAUCCAAAGCACCUUGACAAUUAGCUUAAAGGGCACGAGCAGGGCCUGUGCAAUUCCAUCAGGACUGUGGCCAACAUGUCAUGUCAGGAGACUUGCCGACCCAUCUUCUCGUUUCUAGGGAUUCGGGACGUGGCCGUACAAAUGGUCUGUCAGCCUCUGGCAUUUAUCGGAGCGAACGCUGAGUGGUCCGCGAGUGGCUGGCUUUGCUAAGGGCUGGGGGGGGGCACGGGCACCAUUCUGGAGUGCUGGCGGCCAUCCCCAUCCCCACAGGGUUUGAGUCACGCCCGGUGCCUUUCUCAGACCCACUGAUGGGUUCAGUUAUAAUGUGUGCGCCUCACCGUAUGUGAAUUUCCCCUAAAAGAAGCCAUAAGUGACACUGAACUCUAGUUAAUGUCCCGCGUGCUGGAGCGUCCGGGGAGGGUGCAUGUGGCUGUCUGUCUUUCCUUUGAAAUGUGCCGAAGACUAAGAUGGGUCGACGGGCAGAGAGAGGGAUG
RNAcentral lists this long non-coding RNA (2158 nucleotides) under Ailuropoda melanoleuca (giant panda). RNAcentral describes it as "lncRNA (ENSAMEG00000031359.1)". Lineage: Eukaryota; Metazoa; Chordata; Mammalia; Carnivora; Ursidae. The record is from RNAcentral.